CGUGUAGGCGGGACUGCAAGUCAGAUGUGAAAUCCCCGGGCUCAACCUGGGAACUGCAUUCAAAACUGUCGAGCUAGAGUAUGGUAGAGGGUGGUGGAAUUUCCUGUGUAGCGGUGAAAUGCGUAGAUAUAGGAAGGAACACCAGUGGCGAAGGCGACCACCUGGACUGAUACUGACACUGAGGUGCGAAAGCGUGGGGAGCAAACAGGAUUAGAUACCCUCGUA
Molecule: ribosomal RNA, 225 nt
Filed under: uncultured Pseudomonas sp.
Lineage: Bacteria; Pseudomonadati; Pseudomonadota; Gammaproteobacteria; Pseudomonadales; Pseudomonadaceae
Description: partial 16S ribosomal RNA
Rfam family: Bacterial small subunit ribosomal RNA
Source: RNAcentral